AGUGAGGAGGUGGUAUGUUAAUAGCAUAUUCAUUUGACGUUAGCUGCAGAAGAAGCACCGGCUAACUCCGUGCCAGCAGCCGCGGUAAUACGGAGGGUGCGAGCGUUAAUCGGGAAUUACUGGGCGUAAAGCGCAUGCAGGUGGUUUGUUAAGUCAGAUGUGAAAGCCCCGGGGCUCAAACCUCGGAAUUGCAUUUGAAACUGGCAAACUAGAGUACUGUAGAGGGGGUAGAAUUUCAGGUGUAGCGGUGAAAUGCGUAGAGAUCUGAAGGAAUACCGGUGGCGAAGGCGGCCCCCUGGACAGAUACUGACACUCAGAUGCGAAAGCGUGGGGAGCAAACAGGAUUAGAUACCCUGGUAG
This 360-nucleotide ribosomal RNA is filed under the name uncultured bacterium. RNAcentral's name for it is "bacterial SSU rRNA". It matches the Rfam family "Bacterial small subunit ribosomal RNA", at positions 441 to 793 of the family's 1533-position model. The record is from RNAcentral.